GCCGAAGUGGUGGAAUUUGGUAGACACGCUAUCUUGAGGGGGUAGUGGGGGAAACCCCGUGCGGGUUCAAGUCCCGCCUUCGGCACCA
RNAcentral lists this transfer RNA (88 nucleotides) under Nitrospira bacterium SG8_3. Its description in RNAcentral is "tRNA-Leu". It matches the Rfam family "tRNA". Rfam says of the family: Transfer RNA (tRNA) molecules are approximately 80 nucleotides in length. Their secondary structure includes four short double-helical elements and three loops (D, anti-codon, and T loops). Further hydrogen bonds mediate the characteristic L-shaped molecular structure. tRNAs have two regions of fundamental functional importance: the anti-codon, which is responsible for specific mRNA codon recognition, and the 3' end, to which the tRNAs corresponding amino acid is attached (by aminoacyl-tRNA synthetases). tRNAs cope with the degeneracy of the genetic code in two manners: having more than one tRNA (with a specific anti-codon) for a particular amino acid; and 'wobble' base-pairing, i.e. permitting non-standard base-pairing at the 3rd anti-codon position. Lineage: Bacteria; Pseudomonadati; Nitrospirota; Nitrospiria. RNAcentral also lists the same sequence under 2 other names. The record is from RNAcentral.